This 165-nucleotide ribosomal RNA is filed under the name uncultured Rikenellaceae bacterium. Its description in RNAcentral is "partial 16S ribosomal RNA". It matches the Rfam family "Bacterial small subunit ribosomal RNA", at positions 1214 to 1382 of the family's 1533-position model. The record is from RNAcentral. Lineage: Bacteria; Pseudomonadati; Bacteroidota; Bacteroidia; Bacteroidales; Rikenellaceae.
GUACACACGUGCUACAAUGGCCGGUACAGAGGGAGGCGACCCGCAGGGGAGCGGAUCCCGAAAGCCGGUCGUAGUUCGGAUCGGGGUCUGGAACCCGACCCCGUGAAGCCGGAUUCGCUAGUAAUCGUGGAUCAGCAUGCCACGGUGAAUACGUUCCCGGGCCUU